GUCUGUAGUGUCUACAUGGCUGCAGCAAGA
RNAcentral lists this non-coding RNA (30 nucleotides) under Homo sapiens (human). The record is from RNAcentral. Lineage: Eukaryota; Metazoa; Chordata; Mammalia; Primates; Hominidae.